UACAGAGGGUGCAAGCGUUGCUCGGAUUUACUGGGCGUAAAGCGUGCGCAGACGGCCAGGCAGGUCGGAUGUGAAAGCCCCGGGCUCAACCUGGGAACAGCAUUCGAAACCAUCUGGCUUGAGUGUGGAAGAGGGAAGCAGAAUUCCAGGUGUAGAGGUGAAAUUCGUAGAUAUCUGGAGGAAUACCAGCGGCGAAGGCGGCUUCCUGGUCCAUUACUGACGUUCAGGCACGAAAGCGUGGGGAGCAAACAGG
This 253-nucleotide ribosomal RNA is filed under the name uncultured bacterium. RNAcentral describes it as "partial 16S ribosomal RNA". It matches the Rfam family "Bacterial small subunit ribosomal RNA", at positions 524 to 776 of the family's 1533-position model. The record is from RNAcentral.